RNAcentral lists this ribosomal RNA (254 nucleotides) under uncultured bacterium. RNAcentral's name for it is "partial 16S ribosomal RNA". It matches the Rfam family "Bacterial small subunit ribosomal RNA", at positions 524 to 776 of the family's 1533-position model. The record is from RNAcentral.
UACGGAGGGUGCGAGCGUUGUCCGGAAUCACUGGGCGUAAAGGGCGCGUAGGUGGCCUGUGGAAGUCUGCGGUGAAAGCCCGGCGCUCAACGCCGGGUCGGCCGUGGAUACUCUCGGGCUUGAGCUUACUAGAGGCAGAUGGAAUUCCGGGUGUAGCGGUGGAAUGCGUAGAGAUGUGGAGGAAUACCGAUGGCGAAGGCAGCCUCCUGGGCCAACACUGACGCUCAUGCACGAAAGCGUGGGGAGCAAACAGG